Molecule: ribosomal RNA, 1637 nt
Filed under: human gut metagenome
Description: bacterial LSU rRNA
Rfam family: Bacterial large subunit ribosomal RNA
Source: RNAcentral
UCCAAUCGAACUCGGAGAUAGCUGGUUCUCCUCGAAAUAGCUUUAGGGCUAGCCUCGAGCUGGAGUCUAACGGAGGUAAAGCACUGAACUGACGCGGGGCCCAAAAAGGUUACCAACUCAUAUCAAACUAAGAAUGCCGUCAAGAUACCCUCGGGAGUCAGUCUGCGUGAGAUAAGUCGCGUGGACAAAAGGGAAAGAGCCCAGACCGACAGCUAAGGUCCCAAAGUACGUGUUAAGUGGAAAAGGAUGUGGGAUUUCAUAGACAACUAGGAUGUUGGCUUAGAAGCAGCCAUACAUUUAAAGAGUGCGUAAUAGCUCACUAGUCGAGAAAACCUGCGCCGAAAAUGUAACGGGGCUAAAACACGACACCGAAGCUACGGAUUUCCUACAAGGUAGGAAGUGGUAGAGGAGCAUCCUGCAAGGACGAAGCCAAAGUGAGAGCGAUGGUGGACGAAACAGGAGAGAGAAUGCCGGAAUGAGUAGCGAGAUACAUGUGAGAAACAUGUAGGCCGAAUAUCUAAGGAUUCCUGGGUAAAGCUAAUCUUCCCAGGGUUAGUCGGGGCCUAAGGCGAGGACGAAAGUCGUAGUCGAUGGAUAACAGGUUGAUAUUCCUGUACUACACAUAAUCAGAACUGUGGGGACGCAGGAGGAUAGGGAAACCGGGGAAUGGAAAGACCCGGUCAAGCGUAAAGCUGUGGGAGAUAGGCAAAUCCGUCUCCUGUAAGUGAAACGUGAUGAGGACUGAAAAAAAGUAAGGAAGUUUCCGAAUCCACACUGCCGAGAAAAGCCGCUAUUGCGUUAUGUGUACCCGUACCGUAAACCGACACAGGUAGAUGAGGAGAAAAUCCACAGGCCGACGGGAGAAGUGUUGUUAAGGAACUCGGCAAAAUGACCCCGUAACUUCGGGAUAAGGGGAGCCUCGCAAGAGGCCGCAGAAAAGAGGCACAAGCAACUGUUUAGCAAAAACAUAGGUCUAUGCGAAACCGUAAGGUGAAGUAUAUGGGCUGACGCCUGCCCGGUGCUGGAAGGUUAAAAGGAGAGGUCAGCGCAAGCGAAGCUUUGAAUUCAAGCCCCAGUAAACGGCGGCCGUAACUAUAACGGUCCUAAGGUAGCGAAAUUCCUUGUCAGGUAAGUUCUGACCCGCACGAAAGGCGUAAUGAUUUGUGCACUGUCUCGACAACACGCCCGGUGAAAUUGAAGAACCAGUGAAGAUACUGGUUACCCGCAACAGGACGGAAAGACCCCAUGGAGCUUUACUGCAGCCUGAUACUGGGAUUCGAUGAUAUAUGUACAGGAUAGGUGGGAGGCUAAGAAGCGAGAACGCUAGUUUUCGUGGAGCCGCCGGUGGGAUACCACUCUUAUGUCAUUGAAUUUCUAACCUGCAUCCGUAAUCCGGGUGAGGGACAAUGUCAGGCGGGCAGUUUGACUGGGGCGGUCGCCUCCUAAAAGGUAACGGAGGCGCUCGAAGGUCACCUCAGAAUGAUUGGAAACCAUUCAAAGAGUGUAAAGGCAAAAGGUGGCUUGACUGCGAGAGCGACGGCUCGAGCAGGUACGAAAGUAGGACUUAGUGAUCCGGUGGUAAUAAGUGGGAAUGCCAUCGCUCAACGGAUAAAAGCUACCCUGGGGAUAACAGGCUU